GAUCCUGGCUCAGGAUGAACGCUGGCGGCGUGCCUAACACAUGCAAGUCGAACGAAGCAUCUUACCGGAUUCUUCGGAUGAAAGUUUGGUGACUGAGUGGCGGACGGGUGAGUAACGCGUGGGUAACCUGCCCUGUACAGGGGGAUAACAGCUGGAAACGGCUGCUAAUACCGCAUAAGCGCACGGGGAGACAUCUCCUAGUGUGAAAAACUCCGGUGGUACAGGAUGGGCCCGCGUCUGAUUAG
Molecule: ribosomal RNA, 245 nt
Filed under: uncultured bacterium
Lineage: Bacteria
Description: partial 16S ribosomal RNA
Rfam family: Bacterial small subunit ribosomal RNA
Source: RNAcentral